Molecule: ribosomal RNA, 253 nt
Filed under: uncultured bacterium
Lineage: Bacteria
Description: partial 16S ribosomal RNA
Rfam family: Bacterial small subunit ribosomal RNA
Source: RNAcentral
AACGUAGGAGACAAACGUUAUCCGGAGUUACUGGGCGUAAAGGGCGUGUAGGCGGUUUGUUAAGUCUGGCGUGAAAGCUCUCGGCUAAACCGGGAGAGGUCGUUGGAUACUGGCAAACUAGAGGACGGUAGAGGCGUGUGGAAUUCCGGGUGUAGUGGUGAAAUGCGUAGAGAUCCGGAGGAACACCAGAGGCGAAGGCGGCAACCUGGCUCGUAACUGACGCUCAUACACGACAGCAUGGGGAGCGAACGGG